CUGAACGCCUCUAAGUCAGAAUCCGUGCUAGAAACGAUGAUGUUGGUCCCGCACAUUUGACUUGAGUUGAAAUAGAGCUUUGCUCGUGAACCAAAUCAGGUGGACUUUGGCUGUCAUUGCGGAAAUGCUUUGGCAAGCUUGUCUACGAAUUGUAAUCAUAAUAUGGGCGGGGGUGAAUCCUUUGCAGACGACUUGAAUGGGAACGGGGUACUGUAAGCGGUAGAGUAGCCUUGUUCCUACGAUCCGCUGAGGUUAAGCCCUUGUUCUAAAGAUUUGU
This 277-nucleotide ribosomal RNA is filed under the name Tricholoma myomyces. Its description in RNAcentral is "partial 25S ribosomal RNA". It matches the Rfam family "Eukaryotic large subunit ribosomal RNA", at positions 3120 to 3401 of the family's 3401-position model. Lineage: Eukaryota; Fungi; Basidiomycota; Agaricomycetes; Agaricales; Tricholomataceae. The record is from RNAcentral.